This 425-nucleotide ribosomal RNA is filed under the name uncultured bacterium. RNAcentral describes it as "partial 16S ribosomal RNA". It matches the Rfam family "Bacterial small subunit ribosomal RNA", at positions 359 to 776 of the family's 1533-position model. The record is from RNAcentral.
GAAUUUUGGACAAUGGGCGAAAGCCUGAUCCAGCAAUGCCGCGUGCAGGAUGAAGGCCUUCGGGUUGUAAACUGCUUUUGUACGGAACGAAAAGCUUUGGGUUAAUACCCUGGAGUCAUGACGGUACCGUAAUAAUAAGCACAGGCUAACUACGGCCCAGCAGCCGACGUAACACGUAGGGUGCAAGUGUUAAUCGGAAUUAAUGGGCGGAGAGCGUGCGCAGGCGGUUUUGUAGGACAGAGGUGAAAUACCCGGGCUCAACCUGGGAACUGCCUUUGUGACUGCAAGGAUAGAGUACGGCAGAGGGGGGUGGAAUUCCGCGUGUAGCAGUGAAAUGCGUAGAUAUGCGGAGGAACACCGAUGGCGAAGGCAACCCCCUGGGCCUGUACUGACGCUCAUGCACGAAAGCGUGGGGAGCAAACAGG